UACGAAGGGUGCAAGCGUUACUCGGAAUUACUGGGCGUAAAGCGUGCGUAGGUGGUUUGUUAAGUCUGAUGUGAAAGCCCUGGGCUCAACCUGGGAAUUGCAUUGGAUACUGGCAGGCUAGAGUGCGGUAGAGGAUGGCGGAAUUCCCGGUGUAGCAGUGAAAUGCGUAGAGAUCGGGAGGAACAUCUGUGGCGAAGGCAGCCAUCUGGACCGACACUGACGCUGAGGCGCGAAAGCGUGGGGAGCAAACAGG
This 253-nucleotide ribosomal RNA is filed under the name uncultured bacterium. RNAcentral describes it as "partial 16S ribosomal RNA". It matches the Rfam family "Bacterial small subunit ribosomal RNA", at positions 524 to 776 of the family's 1533-position model. The record is from RNAcentral.